RNAcentral lists this ribosomal RNA (465 nucleotides) under Vreelandella stevensii. RNAcentral describes it as "partial 16S ribosomal RNA". It matches the Rfam family "Bacterial small subunit ribosomal RNA", at positions 338 to 795 of the family's 1533-position model. The record is from RNAcentral. Lineage: Bacteria; Pseudomonadati; Pseudomonadota; Gammaproteobacteria; Oceanospirillales; Halomonadaceae.
CCUAGGGGGGGCAGCAGUGGGGAAUAUUGGACAAUGGGCGAAAGCCUGAUCCAGCCAUGCCGCGUGUGUGAAGAAGGCCUUCGGGUUGUAAAGCACUUUCAGUGGGGAAGAAAGCCUUGGGGCUAAUACCCUCGAGGAAGGACAUCACCCACAGAAGAAGCACCGGCUAACUCCGUGCCAGCAGCCGCGGUAAUACGGAGGGUGCGAGCGUUAAUCGGAAUUACUGGGCGUAAAGCGCGCGUAGGCGGUCUGAUAAGCCGGUUGUGAAAGCCCCGGGCUCAACCUGGGAACGGCAUCCGGAACUGUCAGGCUAGAGUGCAGGAGAGGAAGGUAGAAUUCCCGGUGUAGCGGUGAAAUGCGUAGAGAUCGGGAGGAAUACCAGUGGCGAAGGCGGCCUUCUGGACUGACACUGACGCUGAGGUGCGAAAGCGUGGGUAGCAAACAGGAUUAGAUACCCCAGUAGUC